This 253-nucleotide ribosomal RNA is filed under the name Coprococcus comes ATCC 27758. RNAcentral describes it as "partial 16S ribosomal RNA". It matches the Rfam family "Bacterial small subunit ribosomal RNA", at positions 524 to 776 of the family's 1533-position model. Lineage: Bacteria; Bacillati; Bacillota; Clostridia; Lachnospirales; Lachnospiraceae. The record is from RNAcentral.
UAUGGAGGAUGCGAGCGUUAUCCGGAUUUAUUGGGUUUAAAGGGAGCGUAGACGGGUUUUUAAGUCAGCUGUGAAAGUUUGGGGCUCAACCCCGGGACUGCUUUGGAAACUAUGCAGCUAGAGUGUCGGAGAGGUAAGUGGAAUUCCCAGUGUAGCGGUGAAAUGCGUAGAUAUUGGGAGGAACACCAGUGGCGAAGGCGGCUUACUGGACGAUGACUGACGUUGAGGCUCGAAAGCGUGGGGAGCAAACAGG